Molecule: transfer RNA, 553 nt
Filed under: uncultured cyanobacterium
Lineage: Bacteria; Bacillati; Cyanobacteriota
Description: partial 16S-23S ribosomal RNA intergenic spacer
Rfam family: tRNA (bases 212-284)
Source: RNAcentral
CAGGGAGACAACAAAAUGUUUAAUAUUAUUAUUUUGUCACCUUAGGUCGAUCGGUAUCUCACGUUUUUAAUUUAUUAAAAAUUUCAUUUCCUAAGUUUUUCUAGGUCACACCCAUUAUCUUUCCUGGGCCAUUAGCUCAGGUGGUUAGAGCGCACCCCUGAUAAGGGUGAGGUCCCUGGUUCAAGUCCAGGAUGGCCCAUAUCUCUAUGUUGGGGGUAUAGCUCAGUUGGUAGAGCGCCUGCUUUGCAAGCAGGAUGUCAGCGGUUCGAGUCCGCUUACCUCCACUGAUUACCACCUCUUCCAUAACCGGUAAAAAGGAAAUGUUUUGAGUCGUGAUCUAAUUCUGAAAGAAUCUAGCUUCCUAAUGACAUUCUAAUGAAAUCAUUAAGAUGCUGGACUCAUUGAAUUAAUUUCAUUGUUUUCAGAGAACCUUGACAACUGCAUAGAUUAUUUUUAAAGACAAUAAGCAUCUUUAAUGAUGCAGAUUUAUUAUUUGUGCGAAUGCAUUAAAUAACAAUUCUAUUAAGCUGAUGCUUCAAUUUUUGAAGUUAUU